RNAcentral lists this ribosomal RNA (2329 nucleotides) under Hydrogenophaga sp. Its description in RNAcentral is "partial 23S ribosomal RNA". It matches the Rfam family "Bacterial large subunit ribosomal RNA", at positions 1 to 2351 of the family's 2925-position model. Lineage: Bacteria; Pseudomonadati; Pseudomonadota; Betaproteobacteria; Burkholderiales; Comamonadaceae. The record is from RNAcentral.
CAUAAGCAAAAUAAGGGCGUAUGGGGGAUGCCUAGGCUCUCAGAGGCGAAGAAGGGCGUGAUAAGCUGCGAAAAGCUACGGGGAUUGGCACACACGAAUUAAUCCGUAGAUACCCGAAUGGGGCAACCCACUAUGUUGAAGACAUAGUACUCCGAUAGGAGGGCAAACCCGCUGAACUGAAACAUCUAAGUAGGCGGAGGAGAAGAAAACAAAAGUGAUUCCGUAAGUAGUGGCGAGCGAACGCGGAUUAGCCCAAACCAAAGAUGUUACGGCAUUUUUGGGGUUGUAGGACCACGAUAUUUGUUGCGGAUUGAAUUAGAAUAACCUGGAAAGGUUAACCACAGAGGGUGAUAGUCCCGUAUAAGUAAAAGAAGAUAACGAUAGUGGCAUCCUGAGUAGGGCGGGGCACGUGAAACCCUGUCUGAAUUUGGCGGGACCAUCCGCUAAGGCUAAAUACUCCUGAGAGACCGAUAGUGAACCAGUACCGUGAGGGAAAGGUGAAAAGAACCGUGAAUAACGGAGUGAAAUAGAUCCUGAAACCAUACGCUUACAAGCGGUCGGAGCUCCUUUAUGGGGUGACGGCGUGCCUUUUGCAUAAUGAGCCUACGAGUUAACGUUGCUGGCAAGGAUAAGAGCUUAAGGCUUGGAUCCGUAGCGAAAGCGAGUCUGAAUAGGGCGCUUUAGUCAGUAGUGUUAGACGCGAAACCGUGUGAUCUACCCAUGGGCAGGAUGAAGCUGUGGUAACACAUAGUGGAGGUCCGAACCGGUUGACGUUGAAAAGUCUUCGGAUGACCUGUGGGUAGGGGUGAAAGGCCAAUCAAACUCGGAAAUAGCUCGUACUCCCCGAAAUGCAUUUAGGUGCAGCGUUGGUUAUAAGUUAUAUAGAGGUAGAGCUACUGAUUGGAUGCGGGGGCUUCACCGCCUACCAAUUCCUGACAAACUCCGAAUGCUAUAUAAUGUUUACCAGCAGUGAGGGCUUGGGUGCUAAGGUCCAAGUCCGAGAGGGAAAGAACCCAGACCAUCAGCUAAGGUCCCCAAAUAUAUGCUAAGUUGAAAAAACGAGGUUUGUCUGCCCAGACAGCUAGGAUGUUGGCUUGGAAGCAGCCAUUCAUUUAAAGAGUGCGUAACAGCUCACUAGUCGAGCGGACGAGCAUGGAUAAUAAUCGGGCAUAAGCAUAUUACCGAAGCUAUGGAUUUUACAUUAAGUUGUAAAGUGGUAGGGGAGCAUUCUAACAGGGUUGAAGGUGUAUCGUGAGGUAUGCUGGACUGGUUAGAAAAGAAAAUGUAGGCAUAAGUAACGAUAAUGCGGGCGAGAAACCCGCACACCGAAAGACUAAGGUUUCCUCAGCUAUGCUAAUCAGCUGAGGGUUAGUCGGGUCCUAAGGCGAACCCGAAAGGGACAGUCGAUGGCCAACGGGUUAAUAUUCCCGUACUACUUAUAGUUGUGAUGGGGUGACGCAGUGGUGAAAGUACCGCGAACUGACGGAAUAGUUCGUUGAAGGUUGUAGCUAUAUUCCAGAUAGGCAAAUCCGUUUGGAAUGGUAAAGACUGAUAGUACUCGGAGUCUUCGGACAAAGAGAUAGUGUACCUAAAGGCUGCCAAGAAAAGCUUCUAAACUUAGAUAAUAAGUACCCGUACCGUAAACCGACACAGGUAGUCGAGGAGAGAAUCCUAAGGUGCUCGAGAGAUUCAUGGCUAAGGAAUUAGGCAAAAUAGACCUGUAACUUCGGGAGAAAGGUCGCCCCGAGCAAUCGGGGCCGCAGUGAAAAGGUCCAGGCGACUGUUUAUCAAAAACACAGGGCUCUGCCAAAUCGUAAGAUGAAGUAUAGGGCCUGACACCUGCCCGGUGCUGGAAGGUUAAGAGGAGAUGUUAUCCGCCUCGGCGGAGAAGCAUUGAAUUGAAGCCCCAGUAAACGGCGGCCGUAACUAUAACGGUCCUAAGGUAGCGAAAUUCCUUGUCGGGUAAGUUCCGACCUGCACGAAUGGUGUAACGAUCUGGACACUGUCUCAGCCAUGAGCUCGGUGAAAUUGUAGUAUCGGUGAAGAUGCCGAUUACCCGCAGUGGGACGAAAAGACCCUGUGCACCUUUACUAUAGCUUAGUAUUGGUCUUGGAUAAGUGAUGUGUAGGAUAGGUGGGAGACUGUGAAGUGGCGUCGCUAGGCGUUGUGGAGUCAUUGUUGAAAUACCACCCUUUGCUUAUCUGAGAUCUAACCCGCUAAUGGCGGGGACAUUGCUUGGUGGGUAGUUUGACUGGGGUGGUCGCCUCCAAAAGAGUAACGGAGGCUUCUAAAGGUUCCCUCAGCACGCUUGGUAACCGUGCGUAGAGUG